This is a long non-coding RNA of Cyprinus carpio (common carp), 1835 nucleotides long. The record is from Ensembl. NCBI's taxonomy places the organism in Eukaryota, Metazoa, Chordata, Actinopteri, Cypriniformes, Cyprinidae.
UGUUUAUUAUUACAGCUCUACCAGUACUUCAUUGGUUGUCUUAUUUAUUUUGGAAUGAAAAGAAAUGCUGUAAGUAUGAGAAAUUAUAUUUUGCUCUAUUAUGACUGGAGAAAUUAAUCAGUAGAUGGGUAUACAAUACACGUUUAAAUAUAUGCAUAUCACAUUUAUUGUACUUUUGUUCAAAUACUGUUGAAUGUUCACCUAAAUGUGUCAGAGCUAGUUAUGUCUCUUAAAAAAAAAAAAAAUCAGUUUCCAAAAAAAUAAAAAUAAAUCAGUUUCCAUCUAAAUCAGCUGUUUCACAAGUCACAGCUUCACUCAGUAACUAUUUUUAUUCAUGAGCCUGUUUUCACUGUUUCUUUUGUCUUUUCAGGUCUACGUUGUCUAUAUUAUUUAAUUUGGUUAAUGAAGAUUGUGAUGAGUGGCGUAAUGGUGUAUUUUUACAUUAUGCUCUUGAGAAAUGAAAAAGCUGAUGCAGGACCGGUCUGUUUGGCAGGAUUUGUUCAAGCCUUGUGGGUGCUUGCAUUUUCUGAAGUCCCAGUCUAUUAUGAGAAGCUCAGCAUGAGGAAAAUGAUGUUCCUGUAUGGAUCAGCUGGUCUUGUUUUAGUGAACUCUGCUGCACUGAUGACAGAACUGAUAAUGAAAGCAGGGAAACCCGUCAACACCGAGUCUCAGGAGGCUUCUCGGAUGUCGAUAGAUUAUAAUGCGACUCCUGGUACAAAGCACACCAGUGUAGAUAUGAACCAGAUGACUGGAGAAUCCGUUGAAAUGGAAACUCUGAGAAAAGUAUCCGAGAACAGCGAGGAGCAUCAAGAAGAGGAGAUCAACUAACAGUAAAGUGAACUGCACUUUCUAGAAGAUCUGACUGAACCUUUCUCACUGGGCAGAGGUUUUCAUGGAAUUAAAAAUUUCUGAGGGUAAAACCAUCGAACAUGCCAUUUGUUAUUUAUUUAUUUAUUUUUUGUCUGCAUAACUAUUAGCAGCAGACAUUGGUGCACUGCACAUCAUCAUAUUUCAGCCUGAAUUAUUUUUAUAACUGCACUGUUGUGCCAUUGGUAUUGUGGUUGCCAAACUAUGCUGAAUUCUACUUUGAAGUGACUUAAGUGUUUGAAGUGACUCAAAAAUUGUUUAUAUACUCUCAAACUUUUAUAUUUUUAUGCAUUUAAAUAUUUUACAUGUAAUAUGUAGCCUAUGUAAAUUAUUUACUUUAUGUAAUUUGUUAAAAUAUGCACUUUCUCAUCUUUGUUCUUAUGUUAUUGCUGACUAUGCUUUAAAAGUGCUUAGAGCACUUACGACAGUAUUUACUAAAGCAAUCAGCAUUAUUUUUCUUUAGUACCAAAAUGGGUAUUGAGGAAUGUUAAAUUUUACUGUAACUUUAUUGUGACUCUCUUUCAAGAGUUAGGGGUAUGUUUCUGGCCAGAGUAAGCUGCAAAGUGGAUCCAGAGUUGAAUGUAUAACAUAAUAUGCUCUUCUGUUGCUUUUUUCACUGACAUUUUUUGUGAAACAUGUUCUACCUUUUUCUUCUCUUUGGGAUGUUUAUGCACAUUGACUUCUGAGAUGAUGUUACUGUAUAUAUGACAAGAUUCUGCCUCUGAUAAAUUUGUGUAAGGUAUCAUCUUAAAUGUAAGAAGACCUUUGUUUUACAGGAUAUUGUUAUAGGCCUACAUGUUUAUUUUAUUAUUCAGAAGUAUUUUUAAAUGUAUUAUUUAUUAUUAUAAUAUUUUUUAAUUUAUUUUUCAUAUUUUUUGUACCAAGUUCAAACACAUGAUCUCAUGUAGUAUUAAAAUAUGAUCUGCAUCGCUCUGUAUAUUAUAAUAAAUAUUUUGCAAGAAAUUACA